This 87-nucleotide transfer RNA is filed under the name Deltaproteobacteria bacterium. Its description in RNAcentral is "tRNA-Tyr". It matches the Rfam family "tRNA". From Rfam's summary of the family: Transfer RNA (tRNA) molecules are approximately 80 nucleotides in length. The record is from RNAcentral. Lineage: Bacteria; Pseudomonadati; Myxococcota; Myxococcia.
GGGCAGAUGCCCGAGCGGCUAAAGGGGGUGGGCUGUAAACCCACUGGCGUAAUGUCUACAGUGGUUCGAAUCCACUUCUGCCCACCA